AGAACGAACGCUGGCGGCAUGCCUAACACAUGCAAGUCGAACGCUCUUGGGGCUUCGGUUUCGAGGGAGUGGCGCACGGGUGAGUAGCGCGUGGGAACCUGUCCUGUUGUGGGGGAUAACCGAGGGAAACUUCGGCUAAUACCGCAUGCGCCCCGGUGAAAGCCGGGGGAAAGAUUUAUCGCAGCAGGAGGGGCCCGCGUCGGAUUAGCUAGUUGGCGGGGUAACGGCCCACCAAGGCGAUGAUCCGUAGCUGGUCUGAGAGGAUGAUCAGCCACACUGGGGCUGAGACACGGCCCAGACUCCUACGGGAGGCAGCAGUGGGGAAUAUUGGACAAUGGGCGCAAGCCUGAUCCAGCAAUGCCGCGUGAGUGAUGAAGGCCUUCGGGUUGUAAGCUCUUUGGCGGGGACGAUGAUGACGGUACCCGCAGAAGAAGCCCCGGCUAACUUCGCGCCAGCAGCCGC
RNAcentral lists this ribosomal RNA (462 nucleotides) under uncultured bacterium. RNAcentral describes it as "SSU rRNA". It matches the Rfam family "Bacterial small subunit ribosomal RNA", at positions 26 to 518 of the family's 1533-position model. The record is from RNAcentral.